RNAcentral lists this ribosomal RNA (497 nucleotides) under uncultured bacterium. Its description in RNAcentral is "partial 16S ribosomal RNA". It matches the Rfam family "Bacterial small subunit ribosomal RNA", at positions 28 to 507 of the family's 1533-position model. The record is from RNAcentral.
GAUGAACGCUGGCGGCGUGCCUAAUACAUGCAAGUCGAGCGAACGGACGAGAAGCUUGCUUCUCUGAUGUUAGCGGCGGACGGGUGAGUAACACGUGGAUAACCUACCUAUAAGACUGGGAUAACUUCGGGAAACCGGAGCUAAUACCGGAUAAUAUUUUGAACCGCAUGGUUCAAAAGUGAAAGACGGUCUUGCUGUCACUUAUAGAUGGAUCCGCGCUGCAUUAGCUAGUUGGUAUGGUAACGGCUUACCAAGGCAACGAUGCAUAGCCGACCUGAGAGGGUGAUCGGCCACACUGGAACUGAGACACGGUCCAGACUCCUACGGGAGGCAGCAGUAGGGAAUCUUCCGCAAUGGGCGAAAGCCUGACGGAGCAACGCCGCGUGAGUGAUGAAGGUCUUCGGAUCGUAAAACUCUGUUAUUAGGGAAGAACAUAUGUGUAAGUAACUGUGCACAUCUUGACGGUACCUAAUCAGAAAGCCACGGCUAACUACGUG